UUCUGGGCCGCACGCGCGCUACACUGACACAGCCAGCGAGUCCUUCCUUGGCCGAGAGGCCCGGGUAAUCUUGUUAAACUGUGUCGUGCUGGGGAUAGAGCAUUGCAAUUAUUGCUCUUCAACGAGGAAUCCCUAGUAAGCGCAAGUCAUCAGCUUGCGUUGAUUACGUCCCUGCCCUUUGUACACACCGCCCGUCGCUACUACCGAUUGAACGGCUCAGUGAGGCCUUCGGACUGGCCGAGAGAGGUGGGCAACCACCACUCAUGUGCCGGAAAGUUGUACGAACUCGGUCGUUUAGAGGAAGUAAAAGUCGUAACAAGGUCUCCGUUGGUGAACCAGCGGAGGGAUCAUUACUGAGUUGAAAAACUCCAACCCCUGUGAACAUAACCUCUGUCGUUGCUUCGGCGGGCACGCCCGCCGGAGGUUCAAAACUCUUAUUUUUUUCAGUAUCUCUGAGCCUAAAAGACAAAUAAUCAAAACUUUCAACAACGGAUCUCUUGGUUCUGGCAUCGAUGAAGAACGCAGCGAAAUGCGAUAAGUAAUGUGAAUUGCAGAAUUCAGUGAAUCAUCGAAUCUUUGAACGCACAUUGCGCCCGCCGGUAUUCCGGCGGGCAUGCCUGUUCGAGCGUCAUUUCAACCCUCAAGCCUCGGCUUGGUGGUGGGGCGCCCGGGCCCUCCGCGGGCCCGGGCCCCCAAGUUCAUCGGCGGGCUCGUCGGUACACUGAGCGCAGUAAAACGCGGUAAAACGCGAACUCGUUCGGAUCGUCCCGGCGUGCUCCACCCCUAAACCCCCAAUUCUUUAAGGGUGACUCGGAUCAGGUAGGAAUACCCGCUGAACUUAGCAUAUCAUAACGGGAGGAAAAAAACCACGGGAUUGCCCCUUACGCGAGGGAAGGGCAAC
RNAcentral lists this ribosomal RNA (901 nucleotides) under Magnaporthaceae sp. LM152. Its description in RNAcentral is "eukaryotic LSU rRNA". The stretch from base 1 to 353 matches the Rfam family "Eukaryotic small subunit ribosomal RNA", at positions 1480 to 1831 of the family's 1831-position model. The record is from RNAcentral. Lineage: Eukaryota; Fungi; Ascomycota; Sordariomycetes; Magnaporthales; Magnaporthaceae.